This 494-nucleotide ribosomal RNA is filed under the name uncultured bacterium. RNAcentral describes it as "partial 16S ribosomal RNA". It matches the Rfam family "Bacterial small subunit ribosomal RNA", at positions 28 to 504 of the family's 1533-position model. The record is from RNAcentral.
GAUGAACGCUGGCGGCGUGCCUAAUACAUGCAAGUCGAGCGAACAGACGAGGAGCUUGCUCCUCUGACGUUAGCGGCGGACGGGUGAGUAACACGUGGAUAACCUACCUAUAAGACUGGGAUAACUUCGGGAAACCGGAGCUAAUACCGGAUAAUAUAUUGAACCGCAUGGUUCAAUAGUGAAAGACGGUUUUGCUGUCACUUAUAGAUGGAUCCGCGCCGCAUUAGCUAGUUGGUAAGGUAACGGCUUACCAAGGCAACGAUGCGUAGCCGACCUGAGAGUGUGGUGGGCCACAAGGGAAGCGAGACCAGGGACGGACUCAUACGGGAGGAAGCAGGAGGGAAUCAUCCAUAAUGGUAGAAAGCUUGACAGAGCAAUGUCGCGUGAGUGAAGAAGUUAUUAGAAACGUAAAAACCUUUUAUUAGUGAAGAACAAAAGUGCAAGUAACUAUGCACUUCUUGACGGUACCAAAACAGAAAGACACUGCUAACUAC